UCCGUAGGCGGUCUUAUAAGUCAGUGGUGAAAGCCCAUCGCUCAACGAUGGAACUGCCAUUGAUACUGUAAGACUUGAAUUUUUGUGAAGUAACUAGAAUAUGUAGUGUAGCGGUGAAAUGCUUAGAUAUUACAUGGAACACCAAUGGCGAAGGCAGGUCUCUGGGCCGUCACUGACGCUGAGGAGCGAAAGCGUGGGGAGCGAACA
This 207-nucleotide ribosomal RNA is filed under the name uncultured bacterium. RNAcentral describes it as "partial 16S ribosomal RNA". It matches the Rfam family "Bacterial small subunit ribosomal RNA", at positions 568 to 774 of the family's 1533-position model. The record is from RNAcentral.